Molecule: long non-coding RNA, 159 nt
Organism: Zea mays
Lineage: Eukaryota; Viridiplantae; Streptophyta; Magnoliopsida; Poales; Poaceae
Exons: 3
Source: RefSeq, a predicted model, not a curated record
UUGUUCUUGCUGAGAGGGAUCAAUGCGUACUGCAAGACAUUGACCCAGAAGAGCUUCACGCAAAAUUGCAAGACCCUAGUUUUCUCGAAGAAGCUCAAUUGAUUGAUGUUCGGGAGCCUGAUGAAGUGGAGAAAGCUUCACUUCCAGGCUUCAAGGUGA